GUUCAUUUAUUUAACUAUGAAAACAAAUUCCAACACUCGAAUCACUGGCAUCCGAGUUGUGCUUGUCCCCUACAGAGAAGAACACGUAGAAAAGUUCGUUUUCAUCCUCAAUUAUUUCUCUGAAACGUAUCCCUUCGUUAUUAUGUACCACGAGUGGAUGAAAUCUCCGGAACUUCAACAUCUGACGGGGUCUGAACCUCUUUCACUUGACGAUGAAUAUAAAAUGCAAAAAUCUUGGAGAGAAGAUGAAGACAAGUGCACUUUUAUCAUUCUUGACGCUGACAUGUACUCCAGAACGAAUAAUGAAAUUGAAUCGAUGAUUGGUGAUACCAAUUUGUAUUUUAAUGAUGCUGAUGAUGGUCAUGCUGCUGAAUGUGAAAUAAUGAUUGCAGAGGAGAAAGCAAGGGGUCGAAAAUUCGGGUGGGAGGCCAUGAUCUUGAUGUUGAGAUACGGAAUAGAAGUUCUAAAAGUGUCUAAAUAUUCAGCAAAAAUCAAAAUGAAUAACGAAAAAAGCAUCCGAAUGUUUGAAAAACUCAAAUUUACAGAGGUGAGCAGGAGUGAAAUUUUCAAAGAAAUUUCCUUUUCGCGGAAUAUCGAGAAAGAAUGGAGUGAAUGGCUUGUGCUGGAAACUUCCGGUGCCCAUACAGAAGAUCAAUACUGUUCACAUGAGCUGUAAAAAACGUGCCAUAAUCAUUCCAUUGACCUUCUGCAUCAAAUCUCUUCAUUCUUUAAAAAUCAUUAAACAAAUAAAAAUAAAAAUUCUAUAAACUCAAUUAGUUAUUGUUGAGGCACUAGCGAUUCAAUAGAAUUUAAAAAAAAGAGUAAAUGUCUAGGAUUUUCCAACAAAAAUUCUUCACCAGAAAAAUCGGAAAAUUCCAAUAGUCGAAUCGGGAGA
Fopius arisanus is the source of this 895-nucleotide RNA transcript. It is a transcript of the gene named microtubule-associated Nat9, with no coding region annotated. The transcript is spliced from 6 exons. NCBI's taxonomy places the organism in Eukaryota, Metazoa, Arthropoda, Insecta, Hymenoptera, Braconidae. The record is from RefSeq and is a predicted model, not a curated record.